Esox lucius (northern pike) is the source of this 1377-nucleotide long non-coding RNA. The record is from Ensembl. NCBI's taxonomy places the organism in Eukaryota, Metazoa, Chordata, Actinopteri, Esociformes, Esocidae.
GUUUGGCCAACCAUCUGCAAGCAGAUAGUCGGCAAUUAGUCAUCGGUUUUGUUGGGUGGCACGAAGUCAGCCGCUUGCCGUACUCGGGUCUCUGCUGGCGGACCAUCUUACUUGUUUCUAUCCAUUCGGAAGCGUGUUUGUAUCCAAGGCCAGUGCACAAAGACACAACACUUAGUGUAAGGAGCACAAAACCUGGACUACUGAGAAAUGGAAAAUGGAAGUUCGGAAGCACAGCGUGUGAAGUAAAUAUCCACCUCCUUCAUCACUCAAAGAACUGGAGGCUUUUCUUCUUGACUAAUGGGGUUCCAUCUGCCUGGAACUGAAAGAUGAGAGAGACCGGCAUCAGUUUCCACCGGCUAAUACGACGCAACACAACGAGCUGGCCCAAAGCACGUCAGCUGUAGCCAAUGUAUCACAUUAGUAGCAGACUUAAUGCUAUGAGAUGUAACUGCGUGGCUAAAAGAACAGUGCAUCACCAGGCAGACAAGGCCAGCUUCCAUUAGGCCCUAGCCAUUUCUUCUCUGUUAAUCUUUGAUGGGACUGUCAUGUGAGGAUAAAUGCCAAACAGCUCUACCUCUUUCACUGGGUCUUUGAUUUGUGACCUGAAUGCACUUAAUCUCAAUGGCAUUAUAGAUUUAUACCUAUUUUUAUGUAGAGAAUCACCUUGGAUUUUCUAGAUAUAGAUGGAAUCAAUGCGUUAUAGUUAUUUGUGGAUGAAAGGAAGUCUCAUUUAUAUGAACCGGGUAGAGGAAGUCUCAUGUCUUUCUCUUUGGAUAGCCUGCUUGAGUGAGGAACAGAUUACCAUUUCUGUACAUGACAUACAAUUAAUUGCUGUAUGUGACAACUUGGCUUGAUCUGAACUGAUCACUACCCAUUGAGAAAACCAGAAACAUUCCCAAAACAUUAGCUAACAUUACUUCUAUUUAGAAAGUAAGCUAACAUCUGUUUGAUAACAUUGCACAAACAUUCAAGUAAUCUUUUUGAUCCCCAAAUAUCUUUCAAGCAAUGUUUCAAAUAGAAUAUUCCUGGAUGGUCCACCUAAAUAAAAUAUUUUUCACAAUAUCUGUAACCACAAAGAACAUGAGUGUAAGAUUCCCAUUAUUACACCCUGGAAUAGAUGAGGUAAAAAGAUUGAUCCAAACAUUGGAAAUUAUUGGGAAAGAUGGGAAUAUGUCAUCUGAGAAAGAUCUAGUUUCUUCUCAGUUUCUUCCCCAUCAAAAGUAUUCCACAUUUACUAUUAUAUAUUUACAAUUAUAUCACCAUGCUCUCAAAGGCCAGAUGUACAAUAGCAUAAAUACUAUAUCUGUAUCAUAAAUACUAUACCUGUAUCCACAAAUACUGAAUGAUGGUAUGUCAGCAUAACAUGUUAGGUACCAC